Molecule: ribosomal RNA, 497 nt
Filed under: uncultured bacterium
Lineage: Bacteria
Description: partial 16S ribosomal RNA
Rfam family: Bacterial small subunit ribosomal RNA
Source: RNAcentral
GACGAACGCUGGCGGCGUGCCUAAUACAUGCAAGUUGAGCGAUGAAGAUUGGUGCUUGCACCAAUUUGAAGAGCAGCGAACGGGUUAGUAACGCGUGGGGAAUCUGCCUUUGAUCGGGGGACAACAUUUGGAAACGAAUGCUAAUACCGCAUAACAACUUUAAACAUAAGUUUUAUGUUUGAAAGAUGCAAUUGCAUCACUCAAAGAUGAUCCCGCGUUUUAUUAGCUAGUUGGUGAGGUAAAGGCUCACCAAGGCGAUGAUACAUAGCCGACAUGAGAGGGUGAUCGGCCAGAUUGGGAGUGAGACAAGGCCCAAACUCCUACGGGAGGCAGCAGUAGGGAAACUUCGGCAAUGGACGAAAGUCUGACCGAGCAAAGCCGCGUGAGUGAAGAAGGUUGUCGGAUCGUAAAACUCUGUUGGUAGAGAAGAACGUUGGUGAGAGUGGAAAGCUCAUCAAGUGACGGUAACUACCCAGAAAGGGACGGCUAACUACGUG